UAAGCACAAGUAAACUACCUCUUGUUUCAAGGAACACACUUCUCUUUUACAUUGACACUACAUACAAAGGUAAUUAACUGAAAGAGAUGAAAACAACAAAGAAGUAGACUUCAAUAUGACUAUUAUACAUGAAUUACAAAUAACAAUCAGUUAAUUAAAACAAACAACACUGGUAAGAACAACCAUUAACGAGUGUUUCAUGGAGGAGUGUGAGAGAGAGAGAGAGAGAGAGAGAGAGAGAGGGAGGAAAGCAGCCUAACUCUCACUCUCUUCAUAUUAUUUAAUACACCAGCAGCAUUGAGGCUCAACACACCUCCAGCACCUCCAGCAGGCUUCUUACAACAAAUACUUGGCCCUCAGAGACGACACACUUAAGGAUAACAGGAAAAGGAGAAGACAUACCAGACACUUGAGAAUUAGAACUGCCCACGCCACUCACAGGGAACCAUUCGCACGCCGUCCGUGGAUGGGUGAGGACGGUGGCUUCCUAAUCGCCGCCAGUGUUAUAGUAAAGUUUUCGUACUGUGAAAAGCAGUGACGUGACAAGUGAACAAGGCUGAGGGAGUGGAAUGGACGCCGGGCAACUCUUCAGCCAGGUUAAUUGGCGCGGAAGGUGACCUGCGAGCUGAUAAGGUUAGUACACAUUUUUUCGACAUGAAAGGUGCGGGACAGAAAAUAAACUGAAUCAAAUUAUCACGGUUCAUUACGCGUGAUGUUUUACGUUGCUGGUCAAGAACACUGAAAAGCCCCAGAUAACGGAAUGAGUGGCUCUUUGUUGUGCUGGAAAAAAUAUAAGGAGCUUAAAGAAGAAAAAUGUGCGUCUUGGUCUUGUGCAAGUGAAGAAAACGGUUACCAAGCUCAUGAACAACAACGGGGAGCUUAAGAAAGACUGGAUUAGUGAAAUUUUAGUGAAGAAAAGGAGUGGCGAUACGAAUAAAGAGUUUCACUACGGUGUUAAUGAAGAAAAUGAGUGUCGAAGCAGUCUCGAUGAUGAAAAUGUAUCGGCUUAUAAGAAAACCGUUGUUCGUUUCGUAUUUAUAUUUGUAUCCGCCUCUGCAGAACCCGGCGGGUAGGAGCAGGCGUCACGUGGGGUUGUGCUGCAAGUAUGACGUCCACGUGCACAUCUACAUCCUGGUCAAGAGAAGGUUAGAUGGAAAGACUCCGGGUAUAUUUGGAUGAUCAGAGCUUAGUUACAGUUCUCUUAAAUGUAAAUAUCCGAAGACGAUAGGAAUUACCACUGUUCAUGAGAUAAAGAGGGAUAAAUUAAAAGGAACUUGGAAGGAUAUGAAUCAAUGCAGUAUUAAGGAAAAGAAGUGACGAUGCUGCGCUGCUUCUAUGCUUACUGAACUAAUGAAGGUGAUUCUACGACCACCACUAUCGUCACUAAAACCACUACCAUGAACUCGAUCACCGCCGCCAUCACUCAAGUGCAGCAGCUCUUGUUAUGUAAGUGCCUUGUCUUUGUCAUAUCAUCA
Long non-coding RNA from Scylla paramamosain (green mud crab), 1475 nucleotides. RefSeq lists it as uncharacterized. The record is from RefSeq and is a predicted model, not a curated record. The transcript is spliced from 3 exons. NCBI's taxonomy places the organism in Eukaryota, Metazoa, Arthropoda, Malacostraca, Decapoda, Portunidae.